RNAcentral lists this ribosomal RNA (442 nucleotides) under uncultured prokaryote. RNAcentral's name for it is "bacterial SSU rRNA". It matches the Rfam family "Bacterial small subunit ribosomal RNA", at positions 355 to 796 of the family's 1533-position model. The record is from RNAcentral.
UAAGGAAUAUUGCGCAAUGGGCGAAAGCCUGACGCAGCCACGCCGCGUGGAGGAAGACACCCCUAUGGGGCGUAAACUCCUUUUAUGUGAGAAGAAGGUCCCGGUCGCCGGGAUUUGACGGUACCACAUGAAUAAGCACCGGCUAACUCCGUGCCAGCAGCCGCGGUAAUACGGAGGGUGCAAGCGUUGUCCGGAUUCACUGGGUGUAAAGGGUGUGUAGGUGGAAUUGCAAGUCAGUGGUGAAAUCCUGCGGCUUAACCGUAGAACUGCCAUUGAUACUGCUAUUCUUGAGUACUGGAGAGGUUACUAGAAUUCGUGGUGUAGCGGUGAAAUGCGUAGAUAUCACGAGGAAUACCAGAGGCGUAGGCGGGUAACUGGACAGAUACUGACACUGAGGCACGAAAGCGUGGGGAGCAAACAGGAUUAGAUACCCGUGUAGUCC